GCAAAGUAGGGAAUAACGCGUUAAGUGAGAAAAGGACGGGAAGUUGCCUUUUCUACGAAAAACAGUUUUGUUUGCGGUGUUAUUCUCGCAUUCCGUUG
This 98-nucleotide non-coding RNA is filed under the name human gut metagenome. RNAcentral describes it as "THF riboswitch". It matches the Rfam family "THF (Tetrahydrofolate) riboswitch aptamer". From Rfam's summary of the family: THF riboswitch presents a pseudoknot that joins P1-P2 and the loop of P3 and two THF binding. The record is from RNAcentral.